Molecule: long non-coding RNA, 1730 nt
Filed under: Toxoplasma gondii VEG
Lineage: Eukaryota; Apicomplexa; Conoidasida; Eucoccidiorida; Sarcocystidae
Source: RNAcentral
GCACGACGUGGUGCUGAAGGACAAUUUGGCUAAGGUAGGCUGGAUCUAGAGCAUUAUUGAAGUGUAGUACCACGAUGUGCCCUCUGUCUAGGAUAGCCGUAUCGAAGCCGCUCGUCAUACUUAUACCAACCCGAAGAGGGCGUUAUCGUCUUAGAAAAAAAUGACGCUGCAUUCUCAUCCCGCCACCGAGCCUGUACGAGGGGACAUGAGUAACAGAGUACCCCUUUUACGUGGUGUUUCAACCAUUUUCAUGUGGGACCCCGUCGUUAGAUGCAGGCAGCUAAAUGCGACCAGUUUCUACGAAGGCCAGCCUGUAACCGUAAGACAUACCUCCAUGACGAUCCGCUCAACGCAGCCAGACGGAGAAAAACAGGGUGCUCGUGAAAAAUCAAACAUUGAGUUGAAACAGGGUUCGAAUACGCCAUUGGCGUCUGCUAGGACAUUUUUCCGGGCAUAUAACGUUGCGGCGUGUGCGUUCAGAGAUCCGUUUGGGUUCUGCUGGGCGUUAAGUUGUGAAGAAUUCGAUUUGGGUCGCUCGCACACUCGUGGUUGUAUCUGCAGCGACGACGCGCGCGCUGCACUCGCUGCAGACGGAAUCACUGAUGAUGGUAAAAACUUCAUGCCGCGUGGAUCUUAUGGCAUCUCUUCUAUUUUUGAACGCUUGUGAGUGUCCUCUGAGAUGUAGUUUCACACAGCUGGGAGUGCGACCACCUCCCCUGCAUCACGCGUUCAGCUUUUCCAUCUUUUUUCUGUGUUGUGGACUCUUGAUGAUCUGGCAUUAUGAGGAAUUCUGAUGCUCGCCUAACAUGCUCGAAACUCACUUAUUUUGAACCGUACAGAAUAGCGCGGCUUAUGAAGUAGUGGCACGCUCAGAAAGCCGAAACAUCGAGUAGCCUGGCGAGAGCCCAAAAGAAGAGGACGCCGGUCAUGGUAAGCACCGUGAAGGGUGUUCAGAGAAUAUGGCAGGACACAUGGAGACAAAAAAGAGGUAAUCUCAUUCGGGGGAGGUUGUCACUAUCAGAGUAGCACACAGCAGAAACCGUGAAGGUACAUGAGGCCUCCAUUAAUGUGAUUUGGUCGUUCUUCACGAACAGGUCAUCCCGCUUUUACCGUUUCACCCGCUGACGGCCAUGUUCUAUUCUAAUGUAUCUGUUGCAUUACAGUCGGUGACUAACUGUGCCCUUCGCCGGCGGAAGAUUUUAUGCGGCGCCGCCGUGGUGGCCCGGCAGAGCCAGCCUCGACCCGAGUGGCCCGCGAUUGACUCACAUGUUGGCCGGUUUCCCGUAAGAUUCAUCUGGUGUUCUGGCGCAGCCGGCAUGCUGCGUCUGACCAACCACUGGAUGCCUUGUGCGGGGGUCUCCGACGAACUAGCGGAACAUCACUUACCGUCUAUCCGCAAAUGCUCUCUACCGCAAAAAUGUCACUGAUGCGCUCUCCAGGUAAUUGAAGCCCCCGGGCGCUUUCGUGCGAGGAAUGAAAUUCGGACUACCUCCCACUUAGCUGGUGCGCAAGAGCAGAAACUGUACGUUGGUCAUUUGCCUCCGCCUGAACUGUUUCCACUCGAACAGAAAGAGAUUCUCAGCGAUGGCGUCGCUAUGCUCCGGAGUUCUGACUCGUCCGCUUUUGUGGAAGAAAGGCGGGCGCGAAGCAAAGGCGUACCUCACUCGCUAGGUAACAAACCGACAAAUGUUAUAGCAUCCAGCGGCUUAGCGCUACGUUAGCAUCAAAAG